Molecule: non-coding RNA, 1880 nt
Organism: Vicugna pacos (alpaca)
Lineage: Eukaryota; Metazoa; Chordata; Mammalia; Artiodactyla; Camelidae
Source: RefSeq, a predicted model, not a curated record
CCUUUAAUUUAGGAAUUAUUUCUUAAAUUGAGAAUUUAAGUUCAUUAAUUUUCAUAGACAUUGAAUAUUUUUUAAUUACCUUUGAUAUUUUUGAAUUACCUUUGAUUUGAUCCUAAUAAAACUUGUUUGCUGAGUUGUUGAAAGCAUUCUUUAUUAGCAUCUCUUUUUAAUUAGACUGAAAUAUGCUGUGUGAAUCAGCUUAGGGAAGCAGAGGGGAUUCCAAAGAAUCAAGCAAAAAAAGGUUGUAAAUUAGUAAAGGCUGCAGGGGUAAGUCCAGAUGUAGAAAACGCAGAAGGACAGAUGACACGGAACCGUGUCCCAGGAAGGAAGUGACAGACACACAGCCUGUUGGGAAGAGAAACGCUGAGCUGCAGGAUUAGGGGCAGAAGCACCAUCCUGUUAGUCUACUGGGUGUUGUUUGGCGUUAGAAGGAUGACGGCUCUUGUUUCUGGCUUUGCAGUUUAAGUGGGAUGGAUUUAGAAGAGCCCCACGAACGUUGUUAAAGUGUUGAGGUGGGUGGAAGGCUCUAUGAAUCACGUAGGUUGUCACUCAGUCCCCAGAAGCAGGGAGAGGAGGCGUCUACAGUCAACUCUGCCUCGGUCUCAAGAAACUGCUUUAUUACUGUUUCCUUCCAGGCCCGCUAGGUGGUGCUCAAAUUACUGCACAGAAUUCCAUGACCUCUAGCAGGAUACAAAGAUGUUAACCCUUAGAACCCAAGGCAGACGGUAUUCUUCGAUUUGAGCUCAUAUGAAGAUCUCGUAUAUCGAGAGGACCACCAAGACUUUUAAAAUAUUGUGUGAUAUAAAAAUAUCUAUGUACAGAAGUUGAAAAAAAUGCUACCUCAGAGUCAAGGUUAGCAUUGUUGGUGGAAGUGGAUUUCGUUCAAUAUUUUUUCUAUUAAGCUUCUGUUACACUAGGUUCUGGGGCAUUUAUGAGGAUUUCAAUUUAUGUUUUUUUAUCUUUUGGCUACGAACACUGUUAAGAAGUUGUUCUUCCUCAUUUGUACAUAGUUUUUCAAUGUCACCUCCAAAAUGGAUAAACUACGGAUCAAUAAUUCUACCAUAUGCAAUGAUUUGGAGGAAAAAGAGAAAAAGGCAAGCAGAAUGAAAUACCAAUUGUGGAAUCAAGAAAAUAAGACUAGAGGACACAGCAGAGGACAAAACAGCCAAAAAUGUACCCUCAUGGGGCCAAGGUGUCGCAGGUCAAUUUGUUCUGUGUCCAACCUGCUUGAGUGUGAACGUCCCAGCGAGGCACCCAAAAGGGGAGGGAGAUUUUUUAUUGGCAUGCAGGACUGUAUCAAUUUAAGAUGUAUGGCAUAAUGAUCUGACUUACAUACAUCACGAAAUGAGGACCAUAAUAGGUUCAGUGAACAUCCAUCACCUCAUAUAAAUAUAAUAUUGAAUGAGAUGCAGUGAGAAUCUGAGAUCUGCUCUCCUGACAACUUUCGUAUAUAACAUGCAGCAGUGUUGGUUAUAUUUAUCAUGUUGUACUUGACACUUACUUAUCUUAUAACUGGGAGUUUGUGUCUUUGAUUGCCUUCCUCCAAUUCCCACUCCCCCUACCCUUUGCCUCUGGUAACCACAAAUCUCAUCUCUUUUCCUAUGAGUUUGUUUGUUUUUGAAGUGCAAUUGACUCACAACACCAUGUUAGUUCCUGUUACACAACAGUGAUUCGGUACUUCUGUACAUUACAAAAUGAUCACUAUGAUAAGUUACCAUCUGUCAACAUACAAAAUUAUGUGUAUUACAUAAUUAUGGACUAUAUUUCCCACACUGUACAUUUCAUCCUUUUUGAAAAGGAUGACUCAUUUAUUUUGCAACUGGAAGGUUGAACCUCGUAAUCUCCCUCAACGAUUUCUCUCCUUUCCUCUGCUCCCUGCU